CGGGUCGUAAAGCACUUUCUGAGAGAUGAGCAAGGACAGUAUCUCAGGAAUAAGUCUCGGCUAACUACGUGCCAGCAGCCGCGGUAAAACGGUAGGAGGCAAGCGUUAUCCGGAUUCACUGGGGCGUAAAGGCGUGCGCAGGCGGUUUCUUAAGCCAGACGUGAAACUCCCCGGGCUUAACCUGGGAACUGCGUUUGGAACUGGGAGACUAGAGUGUGUCAGAGGGAGGUGGAAUUCCGCGUGUAGCAGUGAAAUGCGUAGAUAUGCGGAGGAACACCGAUGGCGAAGGCAGCCUCCUGGGAUAACACUGACGCUCAUGCACGAAAGCGUGGGGAGCAAACAGGAUUAGAUACCCUGGUAGUCCACGCCCUAAACGAUGUCAACUGGCUGUUGGGAGAGAAAUCUUUCAGUAGCGAAGCUAACGCGUGAAGUUGACCGCCUGGGGAGUACGGCCGCAAGGUUGAAACUCA
This 470-nucleotide ribosomal RNA is filed under the name uncultured bacterium. RNAcentral's name for it is "bacterial SSU rRNA". It matches the Rfam family "Bacterial small subunit ribosomal RNA", at positions 419 to 903 of the family's 1533-position model. The record is from RNAcentral.